UCACUAAAUUAUGUAUAAAUUUUUGUUUUAGUCACUUAAUUAAAAAAAUUACAAUCUGGUCAUGAAAUUAUUUAAAAAUUUUCAUUUAAAUCAUUAAAAACUAUUCAAAAUUUUUUUUAUUGAAGUCACUAGUUGUUAAGCUUUUUUUCUUUUUAAAAUUCUGUCAAAGAGCUCCAAACAAUUAUUUGAUGAUUAGAAUGGUGAAUCAAUACUGUACGGGUCCAAUUUUGUCCAGCCCGUUUAAACAAAAAAAACCAAAAAUAAUAACAGUUCAUGUUACAUUAAGACCCAAAACAGAGACCCAAAACCAAGCCCAGCACCUAAGCCCGAUAGGCCCGAUGCCAAAACCAAGUUCAGCCAACCGAAACCCUAGCGUUGCGCCUCCAUUCAGCCAGCCACGUGCUUCCUCGAUGCAAACAUCGCUCGAGGGACGGCUCUGCCCGUCCUUUGCACCAAAAAGGAAACCCCCGCUUGUUGAUUUCCUCCCAAGCUGCAAACAAGCUAAAAGAGGGACAACGGAAGCAACAACACGAAAAGAGAACAGUAGAAACAAGAUGUGUUUUCGGCUAUAUAGCUAAGAGCAAAAAAUGUAAAUUUUUUAGAGACACACAUAUUGAAAUACAAAAAAAGAACCAGAAAUAAAAAGGUGAUUUCAAAAUCUUUUUAUCUAUUGAUUUUAUUGUUUCCUUUGAUCUGUUUUGCGAUUUUAGCAUAAAAAAUGAGAAAAUAAUACCUGAUCCGACGCCGAUGAGAGUCCAAAUAUCUCAAAAGCAGGGAGCUAUGGACGAGGGUCGAACGGUGUUAAGUUCUUUUUCAUUUGUUUUUUUUUUAAAGAAUAGAGUAGGAUUUGAAGCCUUUUUUUAAAAAUAAGAAAAAAGAGAAAGAGCAAACUUACUAAGUCUCCAAAGUUGCGGCCUCCGGCGACAAGAUCCGGUCACUAUUCGAGCGCCGUCGGCCACCAAGCAUGGAGGUGGUUCGGCGGCUGUGAGCUAAAUGAAACCCUAGCAGAGUGUUCCCCCUUUUUUUAUUAAAAAAUUGGCUGCAUUUGAAAAAAAAUAAAAAAAAAAGGUUUUAAGUUACUUGUAAAAAGGAAGGCCUGCACUUCAAGCUAAGCGCCUUGUAAUUAAAAAUGGGGGAAUUUUGC
RNAcentral lists this long non-coding RNA (1144 nucleotides) under Gossypium barbadense (sea-island cotton). Its description in RNAcentral is "long non-coding RNA (GBAR_LNC010921)". Lineage: Eukaryota; Viridiplantae; Streptophyta; Magnoliopsida; Malvales; Malvaceae. The record is from RNAcentral.